GACGAACGCUGGCGGCGUGCUUAACACAUGCAAGUCGAACGGUGAAGCGCCUUCCUUUUUGGUGGGUGUGGAUGAGUGGCGAACGGGUGAGUAACACGUGAGUAACCUGCCCCCUUCUUCUGGAUAACCGCAUGAAAGUGUGGCUAAUACGGGAUAUUCUGGGUCUGUCGCAUGAUGGGUCUGGGAAAGAUAUUGUUUCGGUGGGGGAUGGGCUCGCGGCCUAUCAGCUUGUUGGUGGGGUGAUGGCCUACCAAGGCGGUGACGGGUAGCCGGCCUGAGAGGGUGGACGGUCACACGAGGACUGAGACACGGCCCAGACUCCUACGGGAGGCAGCAGUGGGGAAUAUUGCACAAUGGGCGGAAGCCUGAUGCAGCGACGCCGCGUGAGGGAUGGAGGCCUUCGGGUUGUGAACCUCUUUCGCCAGUGAAGCAGGCCUGCCUCGUUUGUGGGUGGGUUGACGGUAGCUGGAUAAGAAGCGCCGGCUAACUACGUG
RNAcentral lists this ribosomal RNA (494 nucleotides) under uncultured bacterium. Its description in RNAcentral is "partial 16S ribosomal RNA". It matches the Rfam family "Bacterial small subunit ribosomal RNA", at positions 28 to 507 of the family's 1533-position model. The record is from RNAcentral.